RNAcentral lists this ribosomal RNA (373 nucleotides) under uncultured organism. Its description in RNAcentral is "partial 16S ribosomal RNA". It matches the Rfam family "Bacterial small subunit ribosomal RNA", at positions 527 to 896 of the family's 1533-position model. The record is from RNAcentral.
GUAGGUGGCAAGCGUUGUCCGGAAUUAUUGGGCGUAAAGCGCGCGCAGGCGGUUCUUUAAGUCUGAUGUGAAAGCCCACGGGCUCAACCGUGGAGGGUCAUUGGAAACUGGAGAACUUGAGUACAGAAGAGGAAAGCGGAAUUCCACGUGUAGCGGUGAAAUGCGUAGAGAUGUGGAGGAACACCAGUGGCGAAGGCGGCUUUCUGGUCUGUAACUGGCGCUGAGGCGCGAAAGCGUGGGGAGCAAACAGGAUUAGAUACCCUGGUAGUCCACGCCGUAAACGAUGAGUGCUAAGUGUUAGGGGGUUUCCGCCCCUUAGUGCUGCAGCUAACGCAUUAAGCACUCCGCCUGGGGAGUACGGCCGCAAAGGCUG